GCAGCCACCUUUUAAAAAGCGUCAAAGCUUAACCUAAUUCCUCUAAAAUACCAUUAACCUUAAUGAACCCCUAAUCUAUAAUGAAUGACCCCAUAUAAAUAUGGAAGACACCAUGCUAGGAUAAGUAACAAGAAUUAAUAAUUCUCCAAAAUGCAAACAUACACCAGCAUGGAUAAACCAUUGGUAAUUACCGAAUCUGAACUUACUGCAACAACACUUACAAGAAAACCAUGCAGUAUUUGCUCGUUAACCUAACACUAGUGCAUUUCAGGAAAGAUUUAAAAAAAGAGAAGGAAUUCGGCAAAUGAAAGCCCCGCCUGUUUACCAAAAACAUCGCCUCUUGAUUUAUGAUAAGAGGUCCAGCCUGCCCAGUGAAUUUUUAACGGCCGCGGUAUCCUAACCGCGCGAAGGUAGCAUAAUCACUUGUUCUUUAAAUGGGGACUCGUAUCAACGGCAUCACGAGGGUUUUACUGUCUCCUCUUUUUGAUCAGUGAAAUUGAUCUUCCCGUGAAGAAGCGGGAAUACUCAUAUAAGACGAGAAGACCCCAUGGAGCUUAAAACCAAAUGGUAACUUAACCACAUAUUUCCUUAUAACUUUAAGCCUAUACUAUGAGGUUUUUGGUUGGGGUGACCGCGGAGUAAAACAUAUCCUCCACGACGGAAAGACUACAAUCUUUAUUUAAGAACCACAGUUCUAAAAAUUAGCAUACUAACGUUUACUGACCCGAUAAUCGAUCAACGGAACAAGUUACCCUGGGGAUAACAGCGCAAUCUACUUCAAGAGCCCAUAUCGACGAGUAGGCUUACGACCUCGAUGUUGGAUCAGGGUAUCCCAGUGGUGCAGCCAUUACUGAAGGUUCGUUUGUUCAACGAUUAAAACCCUACGUGAUCU
This 892-nucleotide ribosomal RNA is filed under the name Polypedates cf. leucomystax CWL-2010. RNAcentral's name for it is "partial 16S ribosomal RNA". It matches the Rfam family "Bacterial large subunit ribosomal RNA", at positions 1112 to 2606 of the family's 2925-position model. The record is from RNAcentral. Lineage: Eukaryota; Metazoa; Chordata; Amphibia; Anura; Rhacophoridae.